RNAcentral lists this ribosomal RNA (1216 nucleotides) under uncultured bacterium. RNAcentral describes it as "bacterial SSU rRNA". It matches the Rfam family "Bacterial small subunit ribosomal RNA", at positions 246 to 1482 of the family's 1533-position model. The record is from RNAcentral.
UAGUUGGUGAGGUAAUGGCUCACCAAGGCAAUGACGCCUAACUGGUUUGAGAGGAUGAUCAGUCACACUGGAACUGAGACACGGUCCAGACUCCUACGGGAGGCAGCAGUGGGGAAUAUUGCACAAUGGAGGAAACUCUGAUGCAGCAACGCCGCGUGGAGGAUGACACUUUUCGGAGCGUAAACUCCUUUUAUAUAGGAAGAUAAUGACGGUACUAUAUGAAUAAGCACCGGCUAACUCCGUGCCAGCAGCCGCGGUAAUACGGAGGGUGCAAGCGUUACUCGGAAUCACUGGGCGUAAAGAGCGUGUAGGCGGGUUAAUAAGUUGGAAGUGAAAUCCUAUAGCUCAACUAUAGAACUGCUUUCAAAACUGUUAACCUAGAAUAUGGGAGAGGUAGAUGGAAUUUCUGGUGUAGGGGUAAAAUCCGUAGAGAUCAGAAGGAAUACCGAUUGCGAAAGGCGAUCUACUGGAACAUUAUUGACGCUGAGACGCGAAAGCGUGGGGAGCAAACAGGAUUAGAUACCCUGGUAGUCCACGCCCUAAACGAUGUACACUAGUUGUUGCGAUGCUAGACAUUGCAGUAAUGCAGUUAACACAUUAAGUGUACCGCCUGGGGAGUACGGUCGCAAGAUUAAAACUCAAAGGAAUAGACGGGGACCCGCACAAGCGGUGGAGCAUGUGGUUUAAUUCGACGAUACGCGAAGAACCUUACCUGGACUUGACAUUUACAGAAUUUUUCAGAGAUGAAUUAGUGUCUGCUUGCAGAAACUGUAGGACAGGUGCUGCACGGCUGUCGUCAGCUCGUGUCGUGAGAUGUUGGGUUAAGUCCCGCAACGAGCGCAACCCACGUCGUUAGUUGCUAACAGUUCGGCUGAGAACUCUAACGAGACUGCCUGGGCAACCAGGAGGAAGGUGUGGACGACGUCAAGUCAUCAUGGCCCUUACGUCCAGGGCUACACACGUGCUACAAUGGGGCAUACAAAGAGCAGCGAUACCGCGAGGUGGAGCAAAUCUCAAAAAUGCCUCCCAGUUCGGAUAGUAGUCUGCAACUCGACUACUUGAAGUUGGAAUCGCUAGUAAUCGUAGAUCAGCAAUGCUACGGUGAAUACGUUCCCGGGUCUUGUACUCACCGCCCGUCACACCAUGGGAGUUGAACUCAUUCAAAGCGGGGAUGCUAAGAUAGCUACCCUCCACAGUGGAUUCAGCGACUGGGGUG